UAGUCUCAUCACGUUUAGUCACGUUGGUACUUUGUUCAGUGUUCUCCGAGGUGGUCUCUGUCUCUGUCUUUCUCUCAGUCUCAGACUGCAGCUGUAUUAAGAGAUGUUACCAGAGAAAAGGAAGAUCCAUCACCGCUGAGAGGCUGAGAUUGUGUUCUAGUGGUACAGUCACUCAACUUGAAUCAAGUUAUUAUUGAAGAGGCAGUAGAAACAGUACAGGAUAAUGGUAGUCUGAUAGCACAGGAGCUAUCUAAUCGUGCUGGUGUAUCCAUAAUGUUGGCAACUGAACGGUUACUGGUGACUGAAAAGGCUGGAGGAGUGUGCAGGGAUGAAUCAGUUACAGUUUUAUCGAAACCAUUUUCUAACUGAGUUACACUAAAUUUAGAUGCAUUUUUAAAGACAAAAAUAAUGUGGUAUUAUAUUGUGUAGGCAAUAAUUAUUGUGGAAUUAAUCAUUAACGUCAA
Amphimedon queenslandica is the source of this 464-nucleotide long non-coding RNA. RefSeq lists it as uncharacterized. The transcript has 4 exons. NCBI's taxonomy places the organism in Eukaryota, Metazoa, Porifera, Demospongiae, Haplosclerida, Niphatidae. The record is from RefSeq and is a predicted model, not a curated record.